GAACGCUAGCUACAGGCUUAACACAUGCAAGUCGAGGGGCAGCAUGGUCUUAGCUUGCUAAGGCCGAUGGCGACCGGCGCACGGGUGAGUAACACGUAUCCAACCUGCCGUCUACUCUUGGACAGCCUUCUGAAAGGAAGAUUAAUACAAGAUGGCAUCAUGAGUCCGCAUGUUCACAUGAUUAAAGGUAUUCCGGUAGACGAUGGGGAUGCGUUCCAUUAGAUAGUAGGCGGGGUAACGGCCCACCUAGUCUUCGAUGGAUAGGGGUUCUGAGAGGAAGGUCCCCCACAUUGGAACUGAGACACGGUCCAAACUCCUACGGGAGGCAGCAGUGAGGAAUAUUGGUCAAUGGGCGAGAGCCUGAACCAGCCAAGUAGCGUGAAGGAUGACUGCCCUAUGGGUUGUAAACUUCUUUUAUAAAGGAAUAAAGUCGGGUAUGGAUACCCGUUUGCAUGUACUUUAUGAAUAAGGAUCGGCUAACUCCGUGCCAGCAGCCGCGGUAAUACGGAGGAUCCGAGCGUUAUCCGGAUUUAUUGGGUUUAAAGGGAGCGUAGAUGGAUGUUUAAGUCAGUUGUGAAAGUUUGCGGCUCAACCGUAAAAUUGCAGUUGAUACUGGAUAUCUUGAGUGCAGUUGAGGCAGGCGGAAUUCGUGGUGUAGCGGUGAAAUGCUUAGAUAUCACGAAGAACUCCGAUUGCGAAGGCAGCCUGCUAAGCUGCAACUGACAUUGAGGCUCGAAAGUGUGGGUAUCAAACAGGAUUAGAUACCCUGGUAGUCCACACGGUAAACGAUGAAUACUCGCUGUUUGCGAUAUACUGCAAGCGGCCAAGCGAAAGCGUUAAGUAUUCCACCUGGGGAGUACGCCGGCAACGGUGAAACUCAAAGGAAUUGACGGGGGGCCCGCACAAGCGGAGGAACAUGUGGUUUAAUUGGAUGAUACGCGAGGAACCUUACCCGGGCUUAAAUUGCAGAUGAAUUACGGUGAAAGCCGUAAGCCGCAAGGCAUCUGUGAAGGUGCUGCAUGGUUGUCGUCAGCUCGUGCCGUGAGGUGUCGGCUUAAGUGCCAUAACGAGCGCAACCCUUGUUGUCAGUUACUAACAGGUUCCGCUGAGGACUCUGACAAGACUGCCAUCGUAAGAUGUGAGGAAGGUGGGGAUGACGUCAAAUCAGCACGGCCCUUACGUCCGGGGCUACACACGUGUUACAAUGGGGGGUACAGAGGGCCGCUACCACGCGAGUGGAUGCCAAUCCCCAAAACCUCUCUCAGUUCGGACUGGAGUCUGCAACCCGACUCCACGAAGCUGGAUUCGCUAGUAAUCGCGCAUCAGCCACGGCGCGGUGAAUACGUUCCCGGGCCUUGUACACACCGCCCGUCAAGCCAUGGGAGCCGGGGGUACCUGAAGUGCGUAACCGCGAGGAGCGCCCUAGGGUAAAACUGGUGACUG
This 1443-nucleotide ribosomal RNA is filed under the name uncultured organism. RNAcentral describes it as "SSU rRNA". It matches the Rfam family "Bacterial small subunit ribosomal RNA". The record is from RNAcentral.